Molecule: ribosomal RNA, 480 nt
Filed under: Yamadazyma michaelii
Lineage: Eukaryota; Fungi; Ascomycota; Pichiomycetes; Serinales; Debaryomycetaceae
Description: [Candida] michaelii partial large subunit ribosomal RNA
Rfam family: Eukaryotic large subunit ribosomal RNA
Source: RNAcentral
AGUGAAGCGGCAAUAGCUCAAAUUUGAAAUCUGGCACCUUCGGUGUCCGAGUUGUAAUUUGAAGAAGGUAUCUUUGGUUUUGGCUCUUGUCUAUGUUCCUUGGAACAGGACGUCACAGAGGGUGAGAAUCCCGUGCGAUGAGAUGCCCAAUUCCAUGUAAAGUUCCUUCGACGAGUCGAGUUGUUUGGGAAUGCAGCUCUAAGUGGGUGGUAAAUUCCAUCUAAAGCUAAAUAUUGGCGAGAGACCGAUAGCGAACAAGUACUGUGAAGGAAAGAUGAAAAGAACUUUGAAAAGAGAGUGAAAAAGUACGUGAAAUUGUUGAAAGGGAAGGGCUUGAGAUCAGACUUGGAAUUUUCCAGUAAUGGAGCUUUCCGGGCCAGCAUCAGUUUGGAUGGCAGGAUAAUUGCGUAGAAAAGUAGCUCUACUUCGGUGGAGUGUUAUAGUCUGCGUCGAUACUGCCUGUCUAGACUGAGGACUGCG